RNAcentral lists this ribosomal RNA (159 nucleotides) under [Epicladonia] simplex. RNAcentral's name for it is "5.8S ribosomal RNA". It matches the Rfam family "5.8S ribosomal RNA". Rfam says of the family: 5.8S ribosomal RNA (5.8S rRNA) is a component of the large subunit of the eukaryotic ribosome. It is transcribed by RNA polymerase I as part of the 45S precursor that also contains 18S and 28S rRNA. The record is from RNAcentral. Lineage: Eukaryota; Fungi; Ascomycota; Lecanoromycetes; Lecanorales; Pilocarpaceae.
ACAACUUUCAACAACGGAUCUCUUGUAUCUGGCAUCUAUGAAAAAAACAGCGAAAUGCGAUAAGUAUUGUGAAUUGCAGAAAUCACUGAAUCAUCGAAUCUUUGAACGCACAUUGCGCUCCCUGGUAUUCUGGGGAGCAUGCCUGUUCGAGCGUCAUUA